GGAAAGCAAUCAUAUGGCCAAAUGCAGGAUGGCUGGUGAGAGUGAAGAUGAGUGAAAUGGAAGUUCCCAGAGCUGUGGAGGAAACAGAGCUCAAACAGGACCUGAAGUUAACCCAGUGUAAAGAUCCAGAAAAUUAUCAAGAAAAUUCUACUUAUCAAACUUUUGCUCCCUAUGGUCUUGUAAAUAAAGAACUUCCCUGAAGCAAGCCUGAGGAGCAGCGUGGCUGUGGAUGGCUGUGGGCAGCAGUUCAGGACUGCUUGGGGAUGAGCAUGCUGGGGUGCCUCAGGUGUCCCUUGCAUGGCUGAGAACAAGUCAGCCCUGCUCCUCAGGAGCAGGACAGAGAGCUGGAGUGAGGAAGUUCAGUCUCCUCUCCCAGGAGAACAUCCAGGUUUGCGCAGUGAAGGCCAGCACAGCCCUGCAGGGCCUGGCAACCCCUUCUGUUUCCUGACACCUUUUUCUACAAUGCAAAAGGAACCAGAGGAAACCGGGGCCAGAUUCCCAGCUGGUAAAAAUCAACAUGACUAAGGGACAAAUCUUCAAUUCUUUACCUUAAAACCCAAUGGAGAAUUUCAAAUACAGAAAGAUUCAGACAUGGGGAUUCAAUGCCUGGUUCGUAAAGGUCCAGCUCUGCCAGCUUGCCAUGGCUGCUGGCUGCCCUGCACAAGGUGGGAUGAGGGGACUCACUUGCCAUUUCCUGGUGGAUUCAGCGACAGCACAGGGACAUCGGCCACCUCUGUUCAUA
Molecule: long non-coding RNA, 742 nt
Organism: Serinus canaria (Common canary)
Lineage: Eukaryota; Metazoa; Chordata; Aves; Passeriformes; Fringillidae
Exons: 5
Source: RefSeq, a predicted model, not a curated record